RNAcentral lists this ribosomal RNA (376 nucleotides) under uncultured bacterium. RNAcentral's name for it is "bacterial SSU rRNA". It matches the Rfam family "Bacterial small subunit ribosomal RNA", at positions 524 to 898 of the family's 1533-position model. The record is from RNAcentral.
UACGGAGGGUGCAAGCGUUGUUCGGAAUUACUGGGCGUAAAGCGCGCGUAGGCGGUUAGUUAAGUCAGAUGUGAAAGCCCAUGGCUCAACCAUGGACGUGCAUUUGAAACUGACUGACUUGAGUAUUGGAGGGGGUGGUGGAAUUCCCGGUGUAGAGGUGAAAUUCGUAGAUAUCGGGAGGAAUACCAGUGGCGAAGGCGACCACCUGGCCAAAUACUGACGCUAAUGUGCGAAAGCGUGGGGAGCAAACAGGAUUAGAUACCCUGGUAGUCCACGCCGUAAACGAUGUCAACUAGGUGUUGGGACGGUUAAUCGUCUCAUUGCCGCAGCUAACGCAUUAAGUUGACCGCCUGGGGAGUACGGUCGCAAGAUUAAA